AAGAAUGCAAUGUCAAUUGUUAAAAGUAGUAAGCAUGAAAGAAAUAAAUAUUUUAAACACAUAUCGUAUUGUCCCGAAGUAUCAUCACCAUUUUGAAGAACCAGUCCGGAGUCCAGGGAGAAAGGCGGAGAAAGAGGCAGGAGGAGAAAGUGGAAGGAAACCUCGGCCUGGCAAAUAGUACAAUGGAAUAUGGAAUAUGACAUGCAGGCGAUAAAGUUAUGCCGGAGACACACCAAAAAGGACGCAGGACGAAACGGGACUAAAGGACGCAAAAGGACGACGGACACGGUACGCCGGAGAGGCUGAAAGGCAAUUCCUAUUGGGGACACUUAAAUGCAUCAGCCAUGCGAAAAUCAACGCCUACGAUGGGUUUUUUUUUUAACUAAACACUAUGAGAAAUUUAGGUUUUAAUAUAUUGUAUUUUUUAAUAUUUUAAAAAAUAGUAUUGAUACAUUUAAAUGUAUAUUUUCAAUUAAUAAUCAAUUAAU
Molecule: long non-coding RNA, 488 nt
Organism: Drosophila ananassae
Lineage: Eukaryota; Metazoa; Arthropoda; Insecta; Diptera; Drosophilidae
Exons: 3
Source: RefSeq, a predicted model, not a curated record